CCUACGGGAGGCAGCAGUGGGGAAUAUUGGGCAAUGGGCGAAAGCCUGACCCAGCAACGCCGCGUGAAGGAAGAAGGCUUUCGGGUUGUAAACUUCUUUUGACAGGGAAGAGCAGAAGACGGUACCUGUCGAAUAAGCCACGGCUAACUACGUGCCAGCAGCCGCGGUAAUACGUAGGUGGCAAGCGUUGUCCGGAUUUACUGGGUGUAAAGGGCGUGUAGCCGGGCUGACAAGUCAGAUGUGAAAUACGGGGGCUCAACCCCCGAACUGCAUUUGAAACUGUUGGUCUUGAGUAUCGGAGAGGCAGGCGGAAUUCCUAGUGUAGCGGUGAAAUGCGUAGAUAUUAGGAGGAACACCAGUGGCGAAGGCGGCCUGCUGGACGACAACUGACGGUGAGGCGCGAAAGCGUGGGGAGCAAACAGGAUUAGAUACCCGAGUAGUC
This 442-nucleotide ribosomal RNA is filed under the name uncultured bacterium. RNAcentral's name for it is "partial 16S ribosomal RNA". It matches the Rfam family "Bacterial small subunit ribosomal RNA", at positions 338 to 795 of the family's 1533-position model. The record is from RNAcentral.